This is a long non-coding RNA of Chrysoperla carnea, 90 nucleotides long. RefSeq lists it as uncharacterized. The record is from RefSeq and is a predicted model, not a curated record. The transcript is spliced from 2 exons. Lineage: Eukaryota; Metazoa; Arthropoda; Insecta; Neuroptera; Chrysopidae.
CCUUUGAGCUGCGGGCCCCCUUCGGUUUUAAAAUAAGAUAGGGAUGCAUUAAUAUGCUGCUGUGAGUUUACAUGGUUAAAUAUACAUUGU